AUGUCCGGCAGAGGCAAACAGGGAGGCAAGGCUCGCGCUAAAGCAAAGUCUCGGUCGUCGCGCGCGGGCCUGCAGUUUCCUGUGGGUCGAGUGCAUCGGUUGCUCCGUAAGGGUAACUAUUCUGAGCGCGUGGGUGCUGGUGCGCCUGUGUAUCUGGCGGCCGUCCUGGAGUAUCUUACGGCUGAGAUCCUGGAGCUGGCGGGCAACGCAGCGCGCGACAACAAGAAGACGCGCAUCAUCCCGCGCCACCUGCAGUUGGCUAUUCGUAACGACGAAGAGCUCAACAAGCUGCUGGGCCGCGUGACCAUCGCGCAGGGCGGCGUCCUGCCCAACAUCCAGGCCGUGCUGCUGCCCAAGAAGACGGAAAGCCACCACAAGGCCAAGGGCAAGUGAGGCCGCGGAGGCGGGCCGGAAACGACCGUACGCCCAGGGGGCCCCGUGACACCAAAGGCUCUUUUCAGAGCCACCCAUAGUUUCUAGAAAAGAGCCGCACUGGCCAAGGGCUGUGUCUUUCUGAGCGCGUUUCUGUGCGAACCUGCGCGAGACAGGGCUCGCGGGAAACCGAAGUGGAGGCAUGAUUUGGGUCAUGGAUGAGACGGGCUUCAGUGACACCCCAAACAUCAUCGAUGGCAGAUGUCUUCCCAGAGUGCCAGGCUUGGUGCUCCUGCUGGGGAUUUCCACCCACUCGUGGCUGGAGUGCACUCUGAGCCUCGUACACUGCCCCCAUACUACCACCUCCUCACUAUUCCCCAGUGGGGCAGACGGUUCUGCCAUUCUAGAGCAACUCAAGUAAACUAAAUACACAAACAAAGCUGCCUUUAAUUCAUUCUUUUCCAUGGUUGCCCACAUGGAGACCAACAGCAAGUUGGUAAACAUCAGGAAGAGGGAUCAUUCU
Molecule: RNA transcript, 895 nt
Organism: Hippopotamus amphibius kiboko
Lineage: Eukaryota; Metazoa; Chordata; Mammalia; Artiodactyla; Hippopotamidae
Gene name: histone H2A type 1-H
Exons: 2
Source: RefSeq, a predicted model, not a curated record